RNAcentral lists this ribosomal RNA (482 nucleotides) under Leptodeira nigrofasciata (black-banded cat-eyed snake). Its description in RNAcentral is "partial large subunit ribosomal RNA". It matches the Rfam family "Bacterial large subunit ribosomal RNA", at positions 1910 to 2604 of the family's 2925-position model. The record is from RNAcentral. Lineage: Eukaryota; Metazoa; Chordata; Lepidosauria; Squamata; Dipsadidae.
CAGUGAACAAUUAAACGGCCGCGGUACCCUAACCGUGCAAAGGUAGCGUAAUCAUUUGUCUAUUAAUUGUAGACCAGUAUGAAAGGCAAAAUGAGGGUUUGUCUGUCUCUUAUAAUAAAUCAAUUAAACUGAUCUACUAGUAAAAAAGCUAGAAUUAAAACAUAAGACCAGAAGACCCUGUGAAGCUUAAACAAAACUAUUAAACCCUAUAAUAACUACUUUCGGUUGGGGCGACCUUGGAAAAAAAAAGAACUUCCAAACACAUGAUUACAACUCAAUAACAUUAUUAGGCCUACAAGCCUAUACAUUAGACCCAGUACAACUGAUAACUGAACAAAGUUACUCCAGGGAUAACAGCGCCAUCUUCUUCAAGAGUCCAUAUCAAAAAGAAGGUUUACGACCUCGAUGUUGGAUCAGGACAUCCUAAUGGUGCAGCCGCUAUUAAGGGUUCGUUUGUUCAACGAUCAAUAGUCCCACGUGAU